CGCCAUUCCGCGUGAGUGAAGAAGGCCUUCGGGUUGUAAAGCUCUUUCAGUUGGAACGAACGGUACGCGCUAAUACCGCGUGCUAAUGACGGUACCGACAGAAGAAGCACCGGCUAACUACGUGCCAGCAGCCGCGGCAAUACGUAGGGUGCGAGCGUUAAUCGGAAUUACUGGGCGUAAAGCGUGCGCAGGCGGAUUGUUAAGCAAGAUGUGAAAUCCCCGGGCUUAACCUGGGAAUGGCAUUUUGAACUGGCAGUCUAGAGUGCGUCAGAGGGGGGUGGAAUUCCACGUGUAGCAGUGAAAUGCGUAGAUAUGUGGAGGAACACCAAUGGCGAAGGCAGCCCCCUGGGAUGACACUGACGCUCAUGUACGAAAGCGUGGGUAGCAAACAGGAUUAGAUACCCUGGUAGUCCACGCCCUAAACGAUGUCAACUGGUUGUUGGGGGAGUGAAAUCCCUUAGUAACGAAGCUAACGCGUGAAGUUGACCGCCUGGGGAGUACGGUCGCAAGAUUA
This 514-nucleotide ribosomal RNA is filed under the name uncultured Pseudomonadota bacterium. RNAcentral describes it as "bacterial SSU rRNA". It matches the Rfam family "Bacterial small subunit ribosomal RNA", at positions 390 to 896 of the family's 1533-position model. Lineage: Bacteria; Pseudomonadati; Pseudomonadota. The record is from RNAcentral.